RNAcentral lists this unclassified non-coding RNA (375 nucleotides) under plant metagenome. RNAcentral's name for it is "partial contains 5.8S ribosomal RNA, internal transcribed spacer 2, and large subunit ribosomal RNA". The stretch from base 1 to 102 matches the Rfam family "5.8S ribosomal RNA", at positions 53 to 154 of the family's 154-position model. The record is from RNAcentral.
AUGCGAUAAGUAAUGUGAAUUGCAGAAUUCAGUGAAUCAUCGAAUCUUUGAACGCACCUUGCGCUCCUUGGUAUUCCUUGGAGCAUGCCUGUUUGAGUGUCAUGAAAUCUUCAAAGUAAAUCUUUUGUUAACUCAAUUGGUUUCUACUUUGGUAUUGGAGGUCUUUGCAGCUUCACACCUGCUCCUCUUUGUUCAUUAGCUGGAUCUCAGUGUUAUGCUUGGUUCCACUCGGCGUGAUAAGUUAUCUAUCGCUGAGGACACUGUAAAAGGUGGCCAAGGUAAAUGCAGAUGAACCGCUUCUAAUAGUCCAUUGACUUGGACAAUACUUUUAUGAUCUGAUCUCAAAUCAGGUAGGACUACCCGCUGAACUUAAGC